AACGAACGCUGGUGGCAGGCUUAACACAUGCAAGUCGAACGCACCCUUCGGGGUGAGUGGCAGACGGGUGAGUAACGCGUGGGAACAUGCCCUUCAGUUCGGAAUAACCCAGGGAAACUUGGGCUAAUACCGGAUACGCCCUUAGGGGGAAAGAUUUAUCGCUGAAGGAGUGGCCCGCGUCUGAUUAGCUAGUUGGUGAGGUAAUGGCUCACCAAGGCGACGAUCAGUAGCUGGCUGAGAGGAUGACCAGCCACACUGGGACUGAGACACGGCCCAGACUCCUACGGGAGGCAGCAGUGGGGAAUUUUGGACAAUGGGGGCAACCCUGAUCCAGCCAUGCCGCGUGUGUGAAGAAGGCCUU
This 361-nucleotide ribosomal RNA is filed under the name uncultured bacterium. RNAcentral describes it as "bacterial SSU rRNA". It matches the Rfam family "Bacterial small subunit ribosomal RNA", at positions 29 to 418 of the family's 1533-position model. The record is from RNAcentral.